RNAcentral lists this long non-coding RNA (467 nucleotides) under Pongo abelii (Sumatran orangutan). RNAcentral's name for it is "lincRNA". The record is from RNAcentral. Lineage: Eukaryota; Metazoa; Chordata; Mammalia; Primates; Hominidae.
UCUCUCUUAGGGAAAACCAGCACCAAAGUUCUAGAGUCUGGACGUCUGUGAUCAGGGUGCCAGCACUGUCCAGGUCACAGACUGCAGACCUUGUAUCUUCAAAUGGAGGAAAGAGGACAAGAGAGCACCUGUGGUCCCUUUUAUCAAGAUGAAUGCAUAAGGAAAAUGUUGUACAUUUGCACAGUGGAGUACACUUCAGCUAUAAAAAGAAUGAGAUGCUGUCAUUUGCAACAACAUUUGAAGCCUAGUCAAGAAGAGGACUCAGAGAAGCUUGACUAAAGUUUCAUGAAGACAGUCUCUGUCAGUGGUGGGCCCUUGAUUCUCAAGGACACUGUCAGAAGCUUCAUCUAACUUCUCUUCCACUCUACUUUCUUCUAGGGAAGAAGUGACCCAACAAUUUGAUCUAAUAUUUGCCUGAUAAUAUUGAACAUCCUUGCAUCUGUUAAAGUUUACUGUCCUAAGACUUA